RNAcentral lists this ribosomal RNA (463 nucleotides) under uncultured bacterium. RNAcentral's name for it is "partial 16S ribosomal RNA". It matches the Rfam family "Bacterial small subunit ribosomal RNA", at positions 28 to 506 of the family's 1533-position model. The record is from RNAcentral.
GACGAACGCUGGCGGCGUGCUUAACACAUGCAAGUCGAACGGUAAGGCCCCAGCUUGCUGGGGUACACGAGUGGCGAACGGGUGAGUAACACGUGGGUGACCUGCCCCGCACUUCGGGAUAAGCCUGGGAAACUGGGUCUAAUACCGGAUAGGACCGCACCGUGAGGGUGUGGUGGUAAGUUUUUCGGUGUGGGAUGGGCCCGCGGCCUAUCAGCUUGUUGGUGGGGUAAUGGCCUACCAAGGCGGCGACGGGUAGCCGGCCUGCGAGGGUGGACGGCCACAUUGGGACUGAGACACGGCCCAGACUCCUACGGGAGGCAGCAGUGGGGAAUAUUGCACAAUGGGCGGAAGCCUGAUGCAGCGACGCCGCGUGGGGGAUGACGGCCUUCGGGUUGUAAACUCCUUUCACCAUCGACGAAGGUUUUCUGACGGUAGAUGGAGAAGAAGCACCGGCUAACUACGU